AGCCCACUUUAGGGAGUAGGGGGCAUUAAUUUGCAUGAUCCUGCCUCUUAUAAAGUGAGAUGAGGUGCCACCAUUUGGCAGUUUUCUGGCCUACCUGCUGGUUCUCCCUCCCCGCAGAAAAUAACAUUUCUCUGGGCUGAAGUCUGAGCCAGGAAAACCAGCUGUUUUUCUUGGAGUGAGAUCUGAAGACGGGAGGUGAAGGAGACGGACAUACCUUUUAACCCCUCCCUCCUUUCACAGCAAGGAUGGGUGCAGUUUCUUUCUAAAGUCAGACCUCAGCACACCAUGUACACCUGGACUAGAAAAUGUCCCAUGUCAUAAAAGAUGCCCAGACUUGGAUUUGGGAUUCUCUUCCUUUUGGAGCAGGAAACAAUUGAGGGCUGGUUUGAUUUUCCUUGCCUGAUGUUCCUUCUUUUCCCUGCCUAGCUUUAUUGACCUGAUCCCACUUAAACAAAAAACCGCAUCCCACCUGAUCAGCCAUGGUUUCAUGUGCCAGCAGGCAAGACACGGAUGUAUUUUUCCUGGUGGAAAUCUACGCCUACGUUGCUGCUUUCCCUAUAAAAACCCAUAGUGGUUAAUGACUCAGUGGAGAUCAUGACCUUCUGUGAGCUACAAUGGAGAUUCCAGUAUUUUCUUGUGUGUGGCAAUACCACAUUUUAAGUGGCGACUGUAAAUCUAUCGUGGUUUCUGUCAGAGAGUAAUGUGAUUGUGUUGUAAAGCAAACUGACUACUGGACUUCAACCACAUUGUGUCGGUUGCUAGAGGCUAACGAGGGCGGGGGAGGGGAGGUAAGGCGGAAAUGCAAAACUCUCCUGUAUUUUGAACACCUAGCUUCUAGCUGGACUGUGCAGGCGCCUGAGUUACAGUUAAGGGCUGAAGAUUCCAACCCGAGGGAGAGGGAUGUGCACAGGGUUAGCUGCUAACUUCCCGGAAUGCCACUAAAACAAAGCCAAGGUCACUGCAAAACCAAAUGCUGUCUGCUUUUGCUGGGGCUUGGAAAUGCCUUAAAACAAAACAUUGUGUCCUUGUUGUCAAGCCUCUUGACUCGCCAUCUGAUUCAGCAGUGCUCCCUAGGGGCCAUGCACUUAACUUCGGCUUUAUUUUGAAUAGCAUUUAUAAUGCCGAUGUACAAAACGACAUUCGGUUUUGAUUUUUUUUUGAUUGGCUAUUUUUUACAAUGUGUCUGUCCAUGUGGCUUCAUUUUUAGGAUAAAUUAAUGACCAUUGUGAACUGCUGUAUGAAUUCUGAAGGGCAAUGCACAGUAGAGGAGCAGCAUGAUAUAACCAUUACUAACUUGUGUCUUUUGUCAAUCACCAUGAAAUAAAGUUUGAAAACUAUUAAAUAUGUUUACAAGGG
Non-coding RNA from Pelodiscus sinensis (Chinese soft-shelled turtle), 1356 nucleotides. Lineage: Eukaryota; Metazoa; Chordata; Testudines; Trionychidae. The record is from RefSeq and is a predicted model, not a curated record.